AUGAAGAACGUAGCGAAAUGCGAUAAGUAAUGUGAAUUGCAGAAUUCAGUGAAUCAUCGAAUCUUUGAACGCACCUUGCGCUCCUUGGUAUUCCGAGGAGCAUGCCUGUUUGAGUGUCAUUAAUAUAUCAACCUCUUCAGCUUAUGCUUGUUGAGUGUUGGAUGGUGGGGGUUUGCUGGUGUCUUAUGAAGUCAGCUCCUCUGAAAUGCAUUAGCGGAACAAUUUGUUGACCGUUCAUUGGUGUGAUAAAAAUAUCUACGCUAUUGACGUCAGUCAGUUCAGCUUCUAACAGUCCAUUGACUUGGACAAAUUUUUCAUUAAUGUGACCUCAAAUCAGGUAGGACUACCCGCUGAACUUAAGCAUAUCAAUAAGCGGAGGA
This 380-nucleotide unclassified non-coding RNA is filed under the name soil metagenome. RNAcentral's name for it is "partial contains 5.8S ribosomal RNA, internal transcribed spacer 2, and large subunit ribosomal RNA". The stretch from base 1 to 119 matches the Rfam family "5.8S ribosomal RNA", at positions 36 to 154 of the family's 154-position model. The record is from RNAcentral.